CAAGAUAUUUAGCAAUAAUGAUAUGACUUAUGCCAUGUAAGUAAAAUUUUAGGGAUGAGGAUAGCUUAAGCCCGUCGGAUUCUUCGCCGCUGUCCACUUCCAUGCAAUCGGCGACGAAAGAAGAAGCAUUAAUGAUGCGGAGGAUAAUGCCGCAAGUAUGAAGUGUAUGGUUGACCGAUGAACAUGAGCGCCGUCUGUAUCGUUCAGCCCUAACUUGAAGGACCUCUUAGGGCGACCAUUUUCUGGUUGAAGUGUAUGCACUCGAUGCGUCGGAUCUGUCACGAGGUUUUUACUGUUGACAGCUCAAGUGCAGCCUUCAGACUUUUCACGAUCUCACUCAGUGAUGGUCUUUUACUACCUUGGUCUUGCAGACAGCUGCUUGCAGUAUCAACAAACAUCCGAAGGCAGUCUGGUGAUAUUUUCCCAACGAGGUUCAAAUUCACAGAAAUGGAGCCUGACUAGGUACCUGAAUCCUAAAUUUACUGGAAUUAUCCAUGUGAGAUUGUGAGCAAUGAGCUG
Molecule: long non-coding RNA, 519 nt
Organism: Ipomoea nil (Japanese morning glory)
Lineage: Eukaryota; Viridiplantae; Streptophyta; Magnoliopsida; Solanales; Convolvulaceae
Exons: 4
Source: RefSeq, a predicted model, not a curated record